This 459-nucleotide ribosomal RNA is filed under the name uncultured bacterium. RNAcentral describes it as "partial 16S ribosomal RNA". It matches the Rfam family "Bacterial small subunit ribosomal RNA", at positions 338 to 795 of the family's 1533-position model. The record is from RNAcentral.
GCUACGGGUGGCUGCAGUGAGGAAUAUUGGUCAAUGGGCGAGAGCCUGAACCAGCCAAGUCGCGUGAGGGAGUACUGCCCUAUGGGUUGUAAACCUCUUUUGUCGGGGAGCAAAAGCCGGACGUGUCCGGCUGUGAGAGUACCCUAUGAAUAAGCAUAGGCUAAAUCCGUUCCAGCAGCUGCGGUAAUACGGAGGAUGCGAGCGUUAUCAGGCUUUGUUGGGUUUAAAGGGUGCGUAGGUUGUUUUUUAAGUCAGCGUUGAAAGUGUGUGGCUCAACCAUAAAAUUGUCGUUGAAACUGGAAGACGUGAGUGUGUUUGAGGUAGGCGGAAUGCGUGGUGUAGCGGUGAAAGUCAUAGAUAUCACGCAGAACUCCGAUUGCGAAGGCAGCUUACUAAGCCAUAACUGACACUGAAGCACGAAAGCGUGGGGAUCAAACAGGAUUAGAUACCCCAGUAGUC